This 92-nucleotide transfer RNA is filed under the name Candidatus Kinetoplastidibacterium desouzai TCC079E. RNAcentral describes it as "tRNA-Ser (GCT) (tRNA-Ser-GCT-1-1)". It matches the Rfam family "tRNA". Rfam says of the family: Transfer RNA (tRNA) molecules are approximately 80 nucleotides in length. Their secondary structure includes four short double-helical elements and three loops (D, anti-codon, and T loops). Lineage: Bacteria; Pseudomonadati; Pseudomonadota; Betaproteobacteria. The record is from RNAcentral.
GGAGGCGUGCCCGAGUGGCUGAAGGGGCUCCCCUGCUAAGGGAGUGUGUGGCUAAAACUGCACCGUGAGUUCGAAUCUCACCGCCUCCGCCA